UACGGAGGGGGCAAGCGUUGUUCGGAAUUACUGGGCGGAAAGGGCUCGUAGGCGGCCAAGUAAGUCAGGCGUGAAAUCCCUCGGCUUAACCGGGGAACUGCGUCUGAUACUGGAUGGCUUGAGUUUGGGAGAGGGAUGCGGAAUUCCAGGUGUAGCGGUGAAAUGCGUAGAUAUCUGGAGGAACACCGGUGGCGAAGGCGGCAUCCUGGGCCAGCACUGAAGCUGAGUGAGCGAAAGCCAGGGGAGCAAACGGG
RNAcentral lists this ribosomal RNA (254 nucleotides) under uncultured bacterium. RNAcentral's name for it is "partial 16S ribosomal RNA". It matches the Rfam family "Bacterial small subunit ribosomal RNA", at positions 524 to 776 of the family's 1533-position model. The record is from RNAcentral.